This 723-nucleotide ribosomal RNA is filed under the name uncultured dinoflagellate. RNAcentral's name for it is "SSU rRNA". It matches the Rfam family "Eukaryotic small subunit ribosomal RNA", at positions 591 to 1321 of the family's 1831-position model. Lineage: Eukaryota; Dinophyceae. The record is from RNAcentral.
AACAUAGGGUAAUUAAAGUUGUUGCGGUAAAAGCUAGUAGUUGGAUUUCUGCUGAGGACGAUCGGUCCGCCCUCUGGGUGAGUAUCUGGCUUGGCCUUGGCAUCCUCUUGGAGAACGUACCUGCACUUGACUGUGUGGUGCGGUAUCCAGGACUUUUACUUUGAGGAAAUUAGAGUGUUUCAAGCAGGCGCACGCCUUGAAUACAUUAGCAUGGAAUAAUAAGAUAGGACCUUGGUUCUAUUUUGUUGGUUUCUAGAGCUGAGGUAGUGAUUAGUAGGGAUAGUUGGGGGCAUUCGUAUUUAACUGUCACAGGUGAAAUUCUUGGAUUUGUUAAAGACGGACUACUGCUAAAGCAUUUGCCAAGGAUGUUUUCAUUGAUCAAGAACGAAAGUUAGGGGAUCGAACACCAUCACAUACCGUCCUAGUCUUAACCAUAAACCAUGCCGACUAGAGAUUGGAGGUCGUUAUCUUUACGACUCCUUCAGCACCUUAUGAGAAAUCAAAGUCUUUGGGUUCCGGGGGGAGUAUGGUCGCACGGCUGAAACUUAAAGGAAUUGACGGAAGGGCACCACCAUGAGUGGAGCCUGCGGAUUAAUUUGACUCAGCACGGGGAAACUCACCGGGUCCCGACAUAUUACGGAUUGACUGAGUGAUAGCACUUUCCUGACUCCAUGGGUGGUGGUGCAUGGCCCCCCUAAGUGGGGGAAGGGAUUUGUCUGGGUA